UACGAACUGUGCGAACGUUACUCGGAAUCACUGGGCUUACAGGGUGCGUAGGCGGCUUGUUAAGUAGGGUGUGAAAGCCCCCGGCUCAACCGGGGAAUGGCGCCCUAAACUGGCGAGCUGGAGUGAGAUAGGGGUGUGCGGAACUUCCGGUGGAGCGGUGAAAUGUGUUGAUAUCGGAAGGAACGCCGGUGGCGAAAGCGGCACACUGGAUCUCAACUGACGCUGAGGCACGAAAGCGUGGGGAUCAAACAGG
RNAcentral lists this ribosomal RNA (253 nucleotides) under uncultured bacterium. RNAcentral describes it as "partial 16S ribosomal RNA". It matches the Rfam family "Bacterial small subunit ribosomal RNA", at positions 524 to 776 of the family's 1533-position model. The record is from RNAcentral.